This 138-nucleotide microRNA precursor is filed under the name Macleaya cordata. Its description in RNAcentral is "MIR390 microRNA precursor family". It matches the Rfam family "MIR390 microRNA precursor family". Lineage: Eukaryota; Viridiplantae; Streptophyta; Magnoliopsida; Ranunculales; Papaveraceae. The record is from Rfam by way of RNAcentral.
CAGAAGAAUCUGUGAAGCUCAGGAGGGAUAGCGCCAUGGAUCUCUCUCUCUCUCUCUCUCUCUCUCUAGGCGCAAGCGUGUGUGUGAGUUGAGCAUGAUCAAUAGCGCUAUCCAUCCUGAGCUUCAUCGGAUCUUCUU